AGGGAGGUGUGGUGACACAACACCAGCGGUCUCCAAAACCGCAGGUUGCACGUUCGAGUCGUGUCCCCCCUG
This 72-nucleotide transfer RNA is filed under the name Ardenticatenaceae bacterium. RNAcentral describes it as "tRNA-Ser". Lineage: Bacteria; Bacillati; Chloroflexota; Ardenticatenia; Ardenticatenales; Ardenticatenaceae. The record is from RNAcentral.